RNAcentral lists this non-coding RNA (23 nucleotides) under Arabidopsis thaliana (thale cress). Lineage: Eukaryota; Viridiplantae; Streptophyta; Magnoliopsida; Brassicales; Brassicaceae. The record is from RNAcentral.
GUCGCUUACCGUCGUCUUCGGUC